Non-coding RNA from Arachis ipaensis, 1813 nucleotides. Lineage: Eukaryota; Viridiplantae; Streptophyta; Magnoliopsida; Fabales; Fabaceae. The record is from RefSeq and is a predicted model, not a curated record.
CUCGCGUAUAUCCUUCUUCAUUCAAAGACCCUAACCCUAACUCCUCCUUCUUCAAACAUUAAGCCCUAACUCCGAUGACACUCCGCGACGACGAACCACUCUUGCGACGACGUCACUCCGACGAAGAACUACUCCGACGACACUCUGUGAAGAACGUAGCUGCGCUCGCAAUGCCUCCACCGACAAUCCCUCUUCAGGUACCCCUAACCCUCAUUCUGCGGUGACUCUCUAGCAGUGACUCCCUCCGCUCAGUUGCCGUCGCAAACCUGCCGUCGAUGCUCCCUUUGCUGCCGUUCCCUUCCAUUUUUGCAAACCCUAACUCCUUCGGCGCUGCUCCCUUCCUGCUUAGCUUUGGAAGAAACUAGAUUCUCUAGGCAUUCAUCGAUCUUAGCUUCUUGCUUCUUUGAUUUGAAAAAGUUUUAAAACUUGCGAAGAACAUGCGUGGACUUACCCGCUGAUGAAGAACGCAUCACAGGGUGUCAAAAAUAGAAGAGGUUGUGCCUCCUAUUCUCACCAAGUUAGGCAAGUAGAUUCUGUCUUUGUUUUUCUUCAAAAUGUCCACAUUCGGUUCCGCCAAUACAAAUCCCAACAAAUCAUACGAGGUAACCCAGCCACCUGGUGAUUCAAUUUCCAGCCUUUGUUUCAGUUCCAAGGCCAAUUUUCUUGUCACUACUUCAUGGGAUAACCAGGUUUGAGUUUGACUUGGAUAUUAGGGCAUAUUUUUUUGUUAAUAUUUUUUGUUAUUUCUAUUUUUUAAUAUUAGUUCACAAAAAAAAAAUGGUCACAAUGUUAUCUUUUUGGUGUUUCUUGCUUUUACCAUUAACUUCUCAAACUGAAAGUGAUAAGAUGUUUUUUGUAAUUAGUAUUAGAAAGAAGAAAUGGUGACAGAAAAUACUUCUAAAACUAAACCAGCUCUUCAAAUUUGUGUGAAGAAAAGGCUCUUAUGUUGGUUUAAUUGUUUGAUAGACAAAUAUUUUUUUUUGGUGAAUUUCUUUUGUCAAUAUCGUACGUUUGAUGUUGGGAGAUUGCAAGGAAUGGAACUGUUAUCAACAGCACACCCAAGGCUUCAAUAUCUCAUGACCAACCAGUUUUAUGCUCCACUUGGAAGGAUGAUGGAACAACGGUUUUCUCCGGAGGCUGCGACAAACAAGUCAAGAUGGUGUCAAGGUUUUAUAUAGAACAAAGGAGCUGGAAGAGCAACAAGCAAAGAGGAUGCUGGUAUGGAGUGGAUUCUUCACCUUGAUACAGAUGAAUUAAUGCACCCAGCGGGUGCUCGAGAGUAUUCUUUGAGGCAGUUGCUUCAUGAGGUUCUAGGAAAUGUAGACGUGGUCAUAUUUCCCAACUAUGUGAGCAGUGUUGAGCGAGAUGAUAUUAAAGAACCUUUUAGUGAGCUAUCAAUGUUUAAGAAGAAUUAUGACCAUCUUCCAAAAGAUAUAUACUUUGGCAAUUACAAAGAUUCUGUACGUGGGAUUCCAAACUACUUUCUGACUUAGGAAAAUGGUAAAUCAGCUGCCUGUAUACAAGAUCAUCUUCGUCCAAAUGGUGCACACAAAUGGGAUAACUACAUGAAAUCCCCAAAUGAGAUCAAGUUGGAGGUGGCUGCUGUUUUGCAUUACACAUGCUAAAUUCUCAUACCUCACUUCCAGACGUGAUCGCUGUGGUUGCAAACCUACCAAAGAAGAUGUAAAAAGAUGCUUCAUGUUGGAAUUUGACAGAUCUUAAGUACAAUUACUCUCUGCUGCUACAAGGACAAUAACACAGCCAUGGCUGCUUCAGUUUCAACCAUAGGAGCUGUCAAAGGAAAACCAAUAUG